Molecule: ribosomal RNA, 207 nt
Filed under: uncultured bacterium
Lineage: Bacteria
Description: partial 16S ribosomal RNA
Rfam family: Bacterial small subunit ribosomal RNA
Source: RNAcentral
CGCGUAGGUGGUUUGUUAAGUUGGAUGUGAAAGCCCCGGGCUCAACCUGGGAACUGCAUCCAAAACUGGCAAGCUAGAGUACGGUAGAGGGUGGUGGAAUUUCCUGUGUAGCGGUGAAAUGCGUAGAUAUAUGGAGGAACACCGGUGGCGAAAGCGGCUCUCUGGUCUGUAACUGACACUGAGGCUCGAAAGCGUGGGGAGCAAACA